UUUCCUUCUCUCUCUCUCUCUCUCUCUCUCUCUCUCUCUCUCUGUGUGUGUGUGUGUGUGUGAGAGAGAGAGAGAGAGAGAGAGAGAAUGGGGGAGAGAAAGAGU
RNAcentral lists this microRNA precursor (105 nucleotides) under Podarcis lilfordi (Lilford's wall lizard). Lineage: Eukaryota; Metazoa; Chordata; Lepidosauria; Squamata; Lacertidae. The record is from RNAcentral.